GUGAAUGUGUAUACUACUGUAGAUUAUAGAAACAAUUACAAACAUAAUCUUUUUAAGUUAGUAAUAUGCACUGCGAAAAAACAUUAUAGUAUAUAACCUUUUCCAAUAGUCAAACACACAAAAAUUAGUUUCAUACCUUGUUCAUCACUUGCUCCCUAUCCUUAACAAGUUCGGAAAACACAACACAACCCAACCUCCAACAUUUUUUUGGCUUGUCUCUUCUGUCUUUUUGAAUCUCUCAAUAGUCACUUUC
RNAcentral lists this long non-coding RNA (253 nucleotides) under Vigna radiata. RNAcentral's name for it is "long non-coding RNA (VRAD_LNC003809)". The record is from RNAcentral. Lineage: Eukaryota; Viridiplantae; Streptophyta; Magnoliopsida; Fabales; Fabaceae.